AGAGUUUGAUCAUGGCUCAGGAUGAACGCUGGCGGCGUGCCUAAUACAUGCAAGUCGAACGAGAUGCUUUUGUAGCAAUACGAGAGUAUUCUAGUGGCGAACGGGUGAGUAACGCGUUGGUGACCUACCCCAAAGUGUGGGAUAACAGUCCGAAAGGAUUGCUAAUACCGCAUGUGGUCUUCGGAUUUAGAAACUGAUGACUAAAGGAGCAAUUCGCUUUGGGAGGGACCUGCGUCCCAUCAGCUAGUUGGUGAGGUAAUGGCUCACCAAGGCGACGACGGGUAGGGGACCUGAGAGGGUGGCCCCCCACAAUGGAACUGAAACACGGUCCAUACACCUACGGGUGGCAGCAGUAGGGAAUAUUGCUCAAUGGGCGAAAGCCUGAAGCAGCAACGCCGCUUGUGCGAUGAAGGCCUUCGGGUCGUAAAGCACUUUUCUGAGAGAUGAGAAAGGACAGUAUCUCAGGAAUAAGUCUCGGCUAACUACGUGCCAGCAGCCGCGGUAAUAC
This 508-nucleotide ribosomal RNA is filed under the name uncultured bacterium. Its description in RNAcentral is "bacterial SSU rRNA". It matches the Rfam family "Bacterial small subunit ribosomal RNA", at positions 8 to 526 of the family's 1533-position model. The record is from RNAcentral.